GACGAACGCUGGCGGCGUGCUUAACACAUGCAAGUCGAACGGAAAGGCCUGCUUUCCCUUGUGGAUUGCGGGUACUCGAGUGGCGAACGGGUGAGUAACACGUGAGUGAUCUGCCCCCAACUUGGGUAUAAGCCUGGGAAACUGGGUCUAAUUCCCGAUAGGACUGCAGGGUGGUGCCUGUGGUGGAAAACGAUUUUCUAGUGGUUGGGGAUGAGCUCGCGGCCUAUCAGCUUGUUGGUGGGGGAAUGGCGUACCAAGGCGGCGACGGGUAGCCGGCCUGAGAGGGUGGACGGCCACAUUGGGACUGAGAUACGGCCCAGACUCCUACGGGAGGCAGCAGUGGGGAAUAUUGCACAAUGGGCGGAAGCCUGAUGCAGCGACGCCGCGUGGGGGAUGACGGCCUUCGGGUUGUAAACUCCUUUCGACCGCGAGGAAGCCACCUGGUUGGAAGGGUGGUGACGGUAGUGGUAGAAGAAGCACCGGCUAACUACGUG
RNAcentral lists this ribosomal RNA (494 nucleotides) under uncultured bacterium. Its description in RNAcentral is "partial 16S ribosomal RNA". It matches the Rfam family "Bacterial small subunit ribosomal RNA", at positions 28 to 507 of the family's 1533-position model. The record is from RNAcentral.